UACAGAGGGUGCAAGCGUUAAUCGGAUUUACUGGGCGUAAAGGGUGUGUAGGCGGUUGUUUAAGUUUGGUGUGAAAUCUCCCGGCUCAACUGGGAGGGUGCGCCGAAUACUGAGCGACUAGAGUGCGGGAGAGGAAAGUGGAAUUCCUGGUGUAGCGGUGAAAUGCGUAGAUAUCAGGAGGAACACCGGUGGUGUAGACGGCUUUCUGGACCGUAACUGACGCUGAGACACGAAAGCGUGGGUAGCAAACAGG
RNAcentral lists this ribosomal RNA (253 nucleotides) under uncultured bacterium. RNAcentral's name for it is "partial 16S ribosomal RNA". It matches the Rfam family "Bacterial small subunit ribosomal RNA", at positions 524 to 776 of the family's 1533-position model. The record is from RNAcentral.